ACUGGAUAAUUCCAAAGGGAUUGCAUUGAUUCAUCUUAGAAACAGCAGCUGCUGGACGAUGAUGAGUCAUGCAUUCCCUUCGGAAUCCUCCCGU
Molecule: microRNA precursor, 94 nt
Filed under: Picea abies (Norway spruce)
Lineage: Eukaryota; Viridiplantae; Streptophyta; Pinopsida; Pinales; Pinaceae
Description: miR393d stem-loop (pab-MIR393d)
Gene: pab-MIR393d
Source: miRBase by way of RNAcentral